Molecule: non-coding RNA, 88 nt
Organism: Peziza echinospora
Lineage: Eukaryota; Fungi; Ascomycota; Pezizomycetes; Pezizales; Pezizaceae
Source: the annotation of a GenBank genome assembly
CCCUUUGUGGUGUAGUUGGUAUCACACUGGACUGUAAUAGCUGUUUCAGAUCAUCCAUUGGUCACCGGUUCGACUCCGGUCGAAGGGA